Molecule: long non-coding RNA, 409 nt
Organism: Ictalurus punctatus (channel catfish)
Lineage: Eukaryota; Metazoa; Chordata; Actinopteri; Siluriformes; Ictaluridae
Source: Ensembl
UGGCAGAGGAGGGCAGCUGAGAGAGGCUGCGAGGAUCAUAGACACUCUCCCUCGUCCUCUGCCGGCAGGAACAAUGUGGACGGAAGCAGCGAAACUCUGGGACGCAUGACAAGCGUCUUCAUCGGCACAUUAAUUGCUCAAAUUGAAGCGGCGCCACAUCUCUCUGAACUAGACGGAGUCGGUUACAGGAGCAUCAAAACACAAGGCGGGGUACACCCUGGACAGGGUGCCAGUCCAUCGCAGGGCACAAUCACAUACACACUCACCAUUCAUACACUACAGACACACCAAUCAGCCUACCAUGCAUAUCUUUGGACCGGAGUACCCGGAGGAAACCCCUGCAGCAUGGGGAGAACAGGCAAACUCCGCAGACACGGCCCCGGCAGGAAUCGAACCCCGGCCCCUGGAG